AUUGAACGCUGGCGGAAUGCUUUACACAUGCAAGUCGAACGGCAGCACGGGAGCUUGCUCCUGGUGGCGAGUGGCGAACGGGUGAGUAAUGCGUCGGAACGUAUCCAUUAAUGGGGGAUAACGCAGCGAAAGCUGUGCUAAUACCGCAUACGCCCUGAGGGGGAAAGCAGGGGAUCUUCGGACAUUGCGUUAUUGGAGCGGCCGACGUCUGAUUAGCUAGUUGGUGAGGUAAAGGCUCACCAAGGCGACGAUCAGUAGCUGGUCUGAGAGGAUGAUCAGCCACACUGGAACUGAGACACGGUCCAGACUCCUACGGGAGGCAGCAGUGGGGAAUUUUGGACAAUGGGCGCAAGCCUGAUCCAGCCAUUCCGCGUGAGUGAAGAAGGCCUUCGGGUUGGUAAACUUCUUUGUAUAGGGACGAGUAAUGACGGUGCCCUAAAACAACGACCACGGCUAACUACGUGCCAGCGAGCCGCGGUAAACAUAACUCG
Molecule: ribosomal RNA, 491 nt
Filed under: uncultured bacterium
Lineage: Bacteria
Description: bacterial SSU rRNA
Rfam family: Bacterial small subunit ribosomal RNA
Source: RNAcentral